AACCAAAUUCCCUCCUUCAUCCGUCUCUUCCCUCGUUUUUCUUUUCCUUUCUUCUCUUCGCUUCUUCGCUUCUUCCUCCUCCUCCUCCUCCAACUCCAAAUCAGAUCUCGCUCUCUCUUCCAUCCCUUUCUCUUUCCCUUUUCCUUUUCCUCUUCCCUCCAAUUCCCUUCGAUUCCCUCGGAUUCACCGAUUCAAUUCCUAUUCCGAUUAUUCUUGACCCCUAAAACCUCACCCGAAGAGGGCUCAAUCAAUCCCCGCCUCCUCCCCUCCAAUUGCUAGUUUCCGAGUUUAGUCGGUUCCGAUGUCGGCUUCUCGAGCUCCUAAUCAGCCGCCGGAGUCGAUCACGCGCCAGCAGCAGCAACAGCCGCCGCCGCCGCCGAAGCGCCAACUGCCUUUCUCGUCGAUGAAGCCGCCGCCAUUUGGGGACUACCAUCGAUUUUCGGGUCCGGUCCUUGAUCACAGGCUGAAGGAACCGGAGGGCAUCGUUGUCAAGUCUCCGCCACUGAAGCGGAAGAGUGAAACAGCCGAGUAUGAAGCUGAGCCUGCUGAACAUAACCCAAGUACUGCACAUGCCAACAAUUUUAGUAGUUCUCUUCGAACCCCUAUAUCAGGGAAAGGCGGAAAGGCACAUAAAGUGUCAAGGAUUGCAAAGUGUGGUAGAUCUGGAUCCCAAACUCCUGUGUCAAAUGUCGGUUCUCCCUCAGGCAAUAAUCUCACCCCAGUUGGUCCCUGUCGGUAUGAUAGUUCUCUAGGUUUAUUAACAAAAAAGUUCAUCAGUCUGAUCAAACAUGCUGAAGAUGGUAUCCUUGAUCUAAAUAGAGCUGCUGACACUUUAGGGGUGCAGAAGAGGCGGAUAUAUGAUAUCACAAAUGUGCUUGAAGGAAUUGGUCUCAUAGAAAAGAAGCUAAAGAAUAGAAUUCAGUGGAAGGGACUUGAUGUGUCAAAGCCAGGGGAGGUUGAUGACAAUGUUAACACCAUACAGGAAGAAGUUGAAAACCUUUCCAUUGAAGAGCAAAAAUUAGAUGAACAAAUAAGAGAAAUGCAGGAAAGAUUGAGGGAGCUGAGUGAAAAUGAAAAUAAUCAGAAAUGGCUAUUUGUCACUGAAGAUGACAUCAAAGGUUUACCCUGCUUCCAGAAUGAAACCCUAAUAGCAAUUAAAGCUCCACAUGGCACAACGCUAGAAGUCCCUGAUCCUGAUGAGGCAGCUGACUACCGUCAAAGGAGAUACAGGAUAGUGCUCAGGAGCACAAUGGGCCCCAUAGAUGUUUACCUUGUCAGUCAAUUUGAGGAGAAAUUCGAAGAGAUCAGUGGCAUGGAGGCAACCCCCAGCAUUCCAUCAACAUCAGGGUUAAAUGAAAACCCAACUGCACAAUUGGUAAUAGAAGAAGGUAGAGUAAAUGAGAUUGAAAUCCAGGGACAAGAAGCCAAUAGAAUAUGCUCAGAUAUAAAUGCUUCACAGGACUUUGUGAGCGGGAUCAUGAAGAUUGUUCCAGAAGUUGAUAGUGACGCAGAUUAUUGGCUUUUGUCAGACGCUGAUAUUAGCAUUACAGACAUGUGGACGGACCCUGGGGUGGGGUGGAAUGAGUUUGAUACUCUUCAUGAUGACCAUGCAAUGGCUACUGCCAGCAUGCCGCCUCCCCAAACUCCACCUUCAGGUACAACAGAAGUUCCAUCUACGGCUAAAAGUACAGGCAAAUGAGCAGAGUAUUAGGCGAUAAGCUUAACAUGGGCACUCAAGCUCUCAUUAUAAGUUGGAGACAUUAUGAUUAAUUGUUCAGGCCGGAGGUAGGGUUUGAGGCACUUGGGGAUUUACCCCCUCAAUGUUCCUUGAAAGAAAUUCUUGCGCAUGGUGGGCUCGAGAUGGGAGUAGGCUGGUGGCUCACUGUACAGGAUACUAGUAGAAGUACAAGUUUUUAGGCUACGGAGAUGAUCCUCCACAGUUAUAUUGCUGCAAAAACAAGAAGAAACGAAAGUUGGGAAUGCAGUUUUGGGUUGCUCUAUCUCUAUCUAUCCUCUGGGGAAUUCUAAUAUAUGACAGAGCAACCUCUCAGCAUGUAUCAUGUUAAGGUUAACUUUUGUGUCUCAUUAGAAUUUGGCUUCUUUGUCGAUUUUUGCUUGGCAUUAUAAGUUCAUCAUCAUUACUUAGGCUUUUGACUCUUAUUAUUAUAAUAUUCAUUAUAGUUAACCUUAUUAAUUUUGGCAUCUUCCCUUUUUGAGUAUUCCCUGACCAUUAUUGUUAAUUACAGUUGUUUCUUUAGUUGUUAUGCAAGUAUAUCAAUUAGUAGUCUAAAAACGUAUUUUACUUGCAAUGGUCUUACUCAAAUUUGCAGAUUAAUCGAUGACACCUUACCUUUCUUUUUUUGUUUAUUUUCAUUUCGGCCUAUCCCAGGAAAGCAUGCAUGGUGAGGAUAUUAAAGUUGCUUUUAUGGUUUGUUGUGGUUAUUAUGAGUUGUUAGAUGUGAAACCACAAAUCCAACCAGCUGCAUGCAUAUCGACUCAUUGCCUAACUCUUUUGUGAUUCGAUUAGUUCACCACUCACUAGCUAUAUAUUUUAUAGUGUGUUCAAUUCUCCUUCCUCACUUUAAAUAUAUUUUAAAUUAAUUUUUAAAAUUUCUUCCCUCAUAAUUCACAAUUAUAAAAUGUUAUCACCACAUAUUUGUAUUGUCUUGAUGGAGUCGUGUAUGCAGCACACACACACGUAAAUGUAUAUGCAUAUGUAUAAUGUGUUGUAGGGAAGUUUAUUUUUGUUCAUUUAAAUAUAUUUUAAAUUAAGUUUUAGAGUUUCUUCCCUCAUAAUUCACAAUUAUAAAAUGUUGUCACCACAUAUUCAUAUUGUCUUGAUGGAGUCGUGUAUGCACACACAUGCACACGUAAAUGUAUAUGCAUAUGUAUAAUGUUGUAGGGAUGUUUAUUUUUGCUCAUUUACAAGUUAAAAAAAUAGUAAAUUGUUGGCUGGUAUAUUAUUCUUUAAUAGGUGCAUAUUUAAAGAAUAAUAAUUUUGUAUUUUUAUCAAUAAAAGAAUGAAGAAAAUGACAGAACAGUGGGAUAAAAAAAAAAAUGAUAAAAUGGGAUUGUCUUUGAAAAGAUUAUGUUACCAUUUAAGGUUCAUCUAGAAAAAAAAAAAAGUAACAAAUUAAGGUAAAAAUGCCAAACAGAAAAUAACAAUCAUGGAUUCUACAUUAUUUUUAUAAUAAUGUAUUUAAGUAAGUUUUUUCAUAAAAUAACAUUCCUCUAAAAACCCAUCUCAAACUUACGUUUCCCAAGUAUACAUGAUGUACAUACCAAAAUAUGUAUAUAUAUAUAUAUAUAACUAAUGUCAAGCAGGCGUAAUUAAUUAUUCUACAAAAAAUUCAAUCCAACUUUGAUAUAAUCAAAUUAAUUAUUUGAUAUUAUAUCAUGUGGUUCCAAUUUAAAUUAAUUAAUUUAACGUCUUAAAUAAAUAAAAUAUAAUUACCUAACAAAAAAACACAAUUACUAAGUAAGAAUGAAGUGUUGAUUCAGAUGAAGAUUUAGCUCUAACAAACCAUAUAUGAACGAGCUUUGAAUUUCAAUCAGCUCAAUUAAUUAAAGAUUAUAUAUUAGAUGUUUUAAUUAGUAAUUGAAUUAAAUUAAUUUCAGUGUUAAAAGUCCUAAGGAUGUUAAUGGGGAAAUUAAAUAUUCAGAGUUGAUUUUUAAAAACGGAGCCUAGAAAUAGAAUGGAGGAAGAAAUUCUUUUAUAAUACAAUUUUCCACUUAAAUUUUUAUUUGAUAAUAUAAUUUUCCAAGCAUAUGUGUAUAGAAGAGCCCAUGCCCUACCACCUUAAAAGAGUCAACUACCUCUUAAAAUACUUCCUAUACUGUACGCCAUUUACAGCCAGAUCUGAUUAGGAUUUCCAACACCGCCCCCCCCCCCCCCCCCCCCCCCCCCCUCC
RNA transcript from Diospyros lotus (date-plum), 3911 nucleotides. It is a transcript of the gene named transcription factor E2FB-like, with no coding region annotated. The record is from RefSeq and is a predicted model, not a curated record. The transcript has 15 exons. Lineage: Eukaryota; Viridiplantae; Streptophyta; Magnoliopsida; Ericales; Ebenaceae.